UACGUAGGCAGCAAGCGUUGUUCGGAUUUACUGGGCGUAAAGGGUGCGUAGGCGGCUCUAUAAGUAUGGUGUGAAAUCUCCCGGCUUAACUGGGAGGGUGCGCUAUAGACUGUGGGGCUAGAGUGUGGGAGAGGAAAGUGGAAUUCCUGGUGUAGCGGUGAAAUGCGUAGAUAUCAGGAGGAACACCGGUGGUGUAAACGGCUUUCUGGACCAUAACUGACGCUGAGGCACGAAAGCGUGGGUAGCAAACAGG
RNAcentral lists this ribosomal RNA (253 nucleotides) under uncultured bacterium. RNAcentral describes it as "partial 16S ribosomal RNA". It matches the Rfam family "Bacterial small subunit ribosomal RNA", at positions 524 to 776 of the family's 1533-position model. The record is from RNAcentral.